CCUACGGGGGGCAGCAGUUUCGAAUUAUUCCCAAUGGACGCAAGUCUGAGGGUGCAAUACCGCGUGGAGGAUGAAGGUUUUCGGAUUGUAAACUCCUGUCGUCAGGGACAAAACCUAUUAUUUUAAUAGAAUGAUAGCUGAUUUAACUUGAAGAGGAAGAGGUGGCUAACUCUGUGCCAGCAGCCGCGGUGAUACAGAGACCUCAAGCGUUACUCGGAUUCACUGGGCGUAAAGGGUACGUAGGUGGUAGUGUGUGUAGGACGUGAAACUCCGGA
Molecule: ribosomal RNA, 275 nt
Filed under: uncultured bacterium
Lineage: Bacteria
Description: partial 16S ribosomal RNA
Rfam family: Bacterial small subunit ribosomal RNA
Source: RNAcentral